UAGGGAAUCUUCGGCAAUGGACGAAAGUCUGACCGAGCAACGCCGCGUGAGUGAAGAAGGUUUUCGGAUCGUAAAACUCUGUUGUUAGAGAAGAAAAAGGACGUUAGUAACUGAACGUCCCCUGACGGUAUCUAACCAGAAAGCCACGGCUAACUACGUGCCAGCAGCCGCGGUAAUACGUAGGUGGCAAGCGUUGUCCGGAUUUAUUGGGCGUAAAGCGAGCGCAGGCGGUUUCUUAAGUCUGAUGUGAAAGCCCCCGGCUCAACCGGGGAGGGUCAUUGGAAACUGGGAGACUUGAGUGCAGAAGAGGAGAGUGGAAUUCCAUGUGUAGCGGUGAAAUGCGUAGAUAUAUGGAGGAACACCAGUGGCGAAGGCGGCUCUCUGGUAUGUGACUGACGCUGAGGCACGAAAGCGUGGGGAGCAAACAGG
RNAcentral lists this ribosomal RNA (429 nucleotides) under Gemmatimonadota bacterium. RNAcentral's name for it is "Gemmatimonadetes bacterium partial 16S ribosomal RNA". It matches the Rfam family "Bacterial small subunit ribosomal RNA", at positions 355 to 776 of the family's 1533-position model. The record is from RNAcentral. Lineage: Bacteria; Pseudomonadati; Gemmatimonadota.